CGACGUGAGGAACCUGCCUUGGAGAGGGGAAUAACACUCCGAAAGGAGUGCUAAUACCGCAUGAUGCGGUUGGGUCGCAUGGCUCUGACUGCCAAAGAUUUAUCGCUCUGAGAUGGCCUCGCGUCUGAUUAGCUAGUAGGCGGGGUAACGGCCCACCUAGGCGACGAUCAGUAGCCGGACUGAGAGGUUGACCGGCCACAUUGGGACUGAGACACGGCCCAG
RNAcentral lists this ribosomal RNA (222 nucleotides) under uncultured bacterium. Its description in RNAcentral is "partial 16S ribosomal RNA". It matches the Rfam family "Bacterial small subunit ribosomal RNA", at positions 113 to 334 of the family's 1533-position model. The record is from RNAcentral.